UACGAAGGGGGCUAGCGUUGCUCGGAAUUACUGGGCGUAAAGGGCGCGUAGGCGGAUAGUCUAGUCAGAGGUAAAAGCCCAGGGCUCAACCUUGGAACUGCCUUUGAUACUGGCUAUCUUGAGUUCGGGAGAGGUGAGUGGAAUGCCGAGUGUAGAGGUGAAAUUCGUAGAUAUUCGGCGGAACACCAGUGGCGAAGGCGACUCACUGGCCCGAUACUGACGCUGAGGCGCGAAAGCGUGGGGAGCAAACAGG
This 253-nucleotide ribosomal RNA is filed under the name uncultured bacterium. RNAcentral's name for it is "partial 16S ribosomal RNA". It matches the Rfam family "Bacterial small subunit ribosomal RNA", at positions 524 to 776 of the family's 1533-position model. The record is from RNAcentral.